GUGUGUGUGUGUGUGUGUGUGUGUGUGUGUGUGUGUGUGUGUGUCUCUCUCUCUCUCUCUCUCUCUCUCACACACACACACACACACACAAAAGCAAACAA
This 101-nucleotide microRNA precursor is filed under the name Podarcis lilfordi (Lilford's wall lizard). The record is from RNAcentral. Lineage: Eukaryota; Metazoa; Chordata; Lepidosauria; Squamata; Lacertidae.